Molecule: ribosomal RNA, 485 nt
Filed under: uncultured bacterium
Lineage: Bacteria
Description: bacterial SSU rRNA
Rfam family: Bacterial small subunit ribosomal RNA
Source: RNAcentral
AGGACGAACGCUGGCGGCGUGCCUAACACAUGCAAGUCGAGCGAGCCAAUUAACAGAUCCCUUCGGGGUGAAGUUGAGGAAGCUUAGCGGCGGACGGGUGAGUAACGCGUGAGUAACCUGCCUGUAAGAGGGGGAUAACACAGAGAAAUCUGUGCUAAUACCGCAUAUUGAGUAUUUAUCGCAUGGUUCAACUUGAAAGAUUUAUCGCUUAUGGAUGGACUCGCGUCUGAUUAGCUAGUUGGUAAGGUAACGGCUUACCAAGGCGACGAUCAGUAGCCGAACUGAGAGGUUGAUCGGCCACAGUUGGGACUGAGACACGGCCCAGACUCCGUACGGGAGGCAGCAGGUGGGGGAUAUUGCGCAAUGGGGGAAACCCUGACGCAGCAACGCCGCGUGAAGGAAGAAGGUUUUCGGAUUGUAAACUUCUGUUCUUAGGGAAGAAGACAGUGACGGUACCUAAGGAGCAAGCCACGGCUAACUACGUG